AAAGGAGGAAUGAGGGGUGGCAAAGAUUACUGGGCCUAAAGAGUGGGAAGGAGGCUUGUUAAGUCUCUGGGGAAAUCUUCCGGCUCAACCGGAAGGCGUCUCAGGGAUACUGGCAGGCUAGGGACCGGAAGAGGUGAGAGGUACUCCAGGGGUAGGAGUGAAAUCCUGUAAUCCUUGGGGGACCACCUGUGGCGAAGGCGUCUCACCAGGACGGCUCCGACAGUGAGGAACGAAAGCUGGGGGAGCAAACCG
This 252-nucleotide ribosomal RNA is filed under the name uncultured prokaryote. Its description in RNAcentral is "partial 16S rRNA". It matches the Rfam family "Archaeal small subunit ribosomal RNA", at positions 475 to 726 of the family's 1478-position model. The record is from RNAcentral.